Molecule: ribosomal RNA, 2904 nt
Filed under: Escherichia coli
Lineage: Bacteria; Pseudomonadati; Pseudomonadota; Gammaproteobacteria; Enterobacterales; Enterobacteriaceae
Description: 23S ribosomal RNA
Rfam family: Bacterial large subunit ribosomal RNA
Source: RNAcentral
GGUUAAGCGACUAAGCGUACACGGUGGAUGCCCUGGCAGUCAGAGGCGAUGAAGGACGUGCUAAUCUGCGAUAAGCGUCGGUAAGGUGAUAUGAACCGUUAUAACCGGCGAUUUCCGAAUGGGGAAACCCAGUGUGUUUCGACACACUAUCAUUAACUGAAUCCAUAGGUUAAUGAGGCGAACCGGGGGAACUGAAACAUCUAAGUACCCCGAGGAAAAGAAAUCAACCGAGAUUCCCCCAGUAGCGGCGAGCGAACGGGGAGCAGCCCAGAGCCUGAAUCAGUGUGUGUGUUAGUGGAAGCGUCUGGAAAGGCGCGCGAUACAGGGUGACAGCCCCGUACACAAAAAUGCACAUGCUGUGAGCUCGAUGAGUAGGGCGGGACACGUGGUAUCCUGUCUGAAUAUGGGGGGACCAUCCUCCAAGGCUAAAUACUCCUGACUGACCGAUAGUGAACCAGUACCGUGAGGGAAAGGCGAAAAGAACCCCGGCGAGGGGAGUGAAAAAGAACCUGAAACCGUGUACGUACAAGCAGUGGGAGCACGCUUAGGCGUGUGACUGCGUACCUUUUGUAUAAUGGGUCAGCGACUUAUAUUCUGUAGCAAGGUUAACCGAAUAGGGGAGCCGAAGGGAAACCGAGUCUUAACUGGGCGUUAAGUUGCAGGGUAUAGACCCGAAACCCGGUGAUCUAGCCAUGGGCAGGUUGAAGGUUGGGUAACACUAACUGGAGGACCGAACCGACUAAUGUUGAAAAAUUAGCGGAUGACUUGUGGCUGGGGGUGAAAGGCCAAUCAAACCGGGAGAUAGCUGGUUCUCCCCGAAAGCUAUUUAGGUAGCGCCUCGUGAAUUCAUCUCCGGGGGUAGAGCACUGUUUCGGCAAGGGGGUCAUCCCGACUUACCAACCCGAUGCAAACUGCGAAUACCGGAGAAUGUUAUCACGGGAGACACACGGCGGGUGCUAACGUCCGUCGUGAAGAGGGAAACAACCCAGACCGCCAGCUAAGGUCCCAAAGUCAUGGUUAAGUGGGAAACGAUGUGGGAAGGCCCAGACAGCCAGGAUGUUGGCUUAGAAGCAGCCAUCAUUUAAAGAAAGCGUAAUAGCUCACUGGUCGAGUCGGCCUGCGCGGAAGAUGUAACGGGGCUAAACCAUGCACCGAAGCUGCGGCAGCGACGCUUAUGCGUUGUUGGGUAGGGGAGCGUUCUGUAAGCCUGCGAAGGUGUGCUGUGAGGCAUGCUGGAGGUAUCAGAAGUGCGAAUGCUGACAUAAGUAACGAUAAAGCGGGUGAAAAGCCCGCUCGCCGGAAGACCAAGGGUUCCUGUCCAACGUUAAUCGGGGCAGGGUGAGUCGACCCCUAAGGCGAGGCCGAAAGGCGUAGUCGAUGGGAAACAGGUUAAUAUUCCUGUACUUGGUGUUACUGCGAAGGGGGGACGGAGAAGGCUAUGUUGGCCGGGCGACGGUUGUCCCGGUUUAAGCGUGUAGGCUGGUUUUCCAGGCAAAUCCGGAAAAUCAAGGCUGAGGCGUGAUGACGAGGCACUACGGUGCUGAAGCAACAAAUGCCCUGCUUCCAGGAAAAGCCUCUAAGCAUCAGGUAACAUCAAAUCGUACCCCAAACCGACACAGGUGGUCAGGUAGAGAAUACCAAGGCGCUUGAGAGAACUCGGGUGAAGGAACUAGGCAAAAUGGUGCCGUAACUUCGGGAGAAGGCACGCUGAUAUGUAGGUGAAGUCCCUUGCGGAUGGAGCUGAAAUCAGUCGAAGAUACCAGCUGGCUGCAACUGUUUAUUAAAAACACAGCACUGUGCAAACACGAAAGUGGACGUAUACGGUGUGACGCCUGCCCGGUGCCGGAAGGUUAAUUGAUGGGGUCAGCGCAAGCGAAGCUCUUGAUCGAAGCCCCGGUAAACGGCGGCCGUAACUAUAACGGUCCUAAGGUAGCGAAAUUCCUUGUCGGGUAAGUUCCGACCUGCACGAAUGGCGUAAUGAUGGCCAGGCUGUCUCCACCCGAGACUCAGUGAAAUUGAACUCGCUGUGAAGAUGCAGUGUACCCGCGGCAAGACGGAAAGACCCCGUGAACCUUUACUAUAGCUUGACACUGAACAUUGAGCCUUGAUGUGUAGGAUAGGUGGGAGGCUUGGAAGUGUGGACGCCAGUCUGCAUGGAGCCGACCUUGAAAUACCACCCUUUAAUGUUUGAUGUUCUAACGUUGACCCGUAAUCCGGGUUGCGGACAGUGUCUGGUGGGUAGUUUGACUGGGGCGGUCUCCUCCUAAAGAGUAACGGAGGAGCACGAAGGUUGGCUAAUCCUGGUCGGACAUCAGGAGGUUAGUGCAAUGGCAUAAGCCAGCUUGACUGCGAGCGUGACGGCGCGAGCAGGUGCGAAAGCAGGUCAUAGUGAUCCGGUGGUUCUGAAUGGAAGGGCCAUCGCUCAACGGAUAAAAGGUACUCCGGGGAUAACAGGCUGAUACCGCCCAAGAGUUCAUAUCGACGGCGGUGUUUGGCACCUCGAUGUCGGCUCAUCACAUCCUGGGGCUGAAGUAGGUCCCAAGGGUAUGGCUGUUCGCCAUUUAAAGUGGUACGCGAGCUGGGUUUAGAACGUCGUGAGACAGUUCGGUCCCUAUCUGCCGUGGGCGCUGGAGAACUGAGGGGGGCUGCUCCUAGUACGAGAGGACCGGAGUGGACGCAUCACUGGUGUUCGGGUUGUCAUGCCAAUGGCACUGCCCGGUAGCUAAAUGCGGAAGAGAUAAGUGCUGAAAGCAUCUAAGCACGAAACUUGCCCCGAGAUGAGUUCUCCCUGACUCCUUGAGAGUCCUGAAGGAACGUUGAAGACGACGACGUUGAUAGGCCGGGUGUGUAAGCGCAGCGAUGCGUUGAGCUAACCGGUACUAAUGAACCGUGAGGCUUAACCUU